Molecule: ribosomal RNA, 457 nt
Filed under: uncultured bacterium
Lineage: Bacteria
Description: bacterial SSU rRNA
Rfam family: Bacterial small subunit ribosomal RNA
Source: RNAcentral
GAUGAACGCUGGCGGCGUGCCUAAUACAUGCAAGUCGAGCGGCAGCACGGUCUUCGGACUGGUGGCGAGCGGCGGACGGCUGAGUAACGCGUAGGAAUAUACCCCAAAGUGAGGGAUAACUGCCCGAAAGGGUGGCUAAUACCGCAUGUGGUCUUCGGACUAAAGCCUUCGAGCGCUUUGGGAAUAGCCUGCGUAAGAUUAGUUAGUUGGUGAGGUAAUGGCUCACCAAGGCGACGAUCUUUAGCUGGUCUGAGAGGAUGACCAGCCAGACUGGAACUGAGACACGGUCCAGACUCCUACGGGAGGCAGCAGUAGGGAAUUUUCCACAAUGGGCGAAAGCCUGAUGGAGCAACGCCGCGUGCAGGAUGAAGGCCCUCGGGUCGUAAACUGCUUUUAUGUGCGAAGAAUAUGACGGUAACACAUGAAUAAGGGUCGGCUAGCUACGUGCCAGCAGCCG